This 1055-nucleotide ribosomal RNA is filed under the name Staphylococcus sp. RNAcentral describes it as "bacterial SSU rRNA". It matches the Rfam family "Bacterial small subunit ribosomal RNA", at positions 62 to 1097 of the family's 1533-position model. Lineage: Bacteria; Bacillati; Bacillota; Bacilli; Caryophanales; Staphylococcaceae. The record is from RNAcentral.
UCGAGCGAACAGACGAGGAGCUUGCUCCUCUGACGUUAGCGGCGGACGGGUGAGUAACACGUGGAUAACCUACCUAUAAGACUGGGAUAACUUCGGGAAACCGGAGCUAAUACCGGAUAAUAUAUUGAACCGCAUGGUUCAAUAGUGAAAGACGGUUUUGCUGUCACUUAUAGAUGGAUCCGCGCCGCAUUAGCUAGUUGGUAAGGUAACGGCUUACCAAGGCAACGAUGCGUAGCCGACCUGAGAGGGUGAUCGGCCACACUGGAACUGAGACACGGUCCAGACUCCUACGGGAGGCAGCAGUAGGGAAUCUUCCGCAAUGGGCGAAAGCCUGACGGAGCAACGCCGCGUGAGUGAUGAAGGUCUUCGGAUCGUAAAACUCUGUUAUUAGGGAAGAACAAAUGUGUAAGUAACUAUGCACGUCUUGACGGUACCUAAUCAGAAAGCCACGGCUAACUACGUGCCAGCAGCCGCGGUAAUACGUAGGUGGCAAGCGUUAUCCGGAAUUAUUGGGCGUAAAGCGCGCGUAGGCGGUUUUUUAAGUCUGAUGUGAAAGCCCACGGCUCAACCGUGGAGGGUCAUUGGAAACUGGAAAACUUGAGUGCAGAAGAGGAAAGUGGAAUUCCAUGUGUAGCGGUGAAAUGCGCAGAGAUAUGGAGGAACACCAGUGGCGAAGGCGACUUUCUGGUCUGUAACUGACGCUGAUGUGCGAAAGCGUGGGGAUCAAACAGGAUUAGAUACCCUGGUAGUCCACGCCGUAAACGAUGAGUGCUAAGUGUUUACGGGGUUUCCGCCCCUUAGUGCUGCAGCUAACGCAUUAAGCACUCCGCCUGGGGAGUACGACCGCAAGGUUGAAACUCAAAGGAAUUGACGGGGACCCGCACAAGCGGUGGAGCAUGUGGUUUAAUUCGAAGCAACGCGAAGAACCUUACCAAAUCUUGACAUCCUCUGACCCCUCUAGAGAUAGAGUUUUCCCCUUCGGGGGACAGAGUGACAGUGGUGCAUGGAUUGUCGUCAGCUCGUGUCGUGAGAUGUUGGUUAGUCCCCGCACGAGC